Molecule: long non-coding RNA, 622 nt
Filed under: Monodelphis domestica (gray short-tailed opossum)
Lineage: Eukaryota; Metazoa; Chordata; Mammalia; Didelphimorphia; Didelphidae
Description: lncRNA (ENSMODG00000040117.1)
Source: RNAcentral
AAGGAAAUAAUAGUGGCAGUUUUCCUAGGAUUGUAGAUUAAAUGACAGCUUGCAUUUUAGAUUUUGCAAAGAUUUUAUAAAUAUUAACUCAUUUUAUCCUUGCAAUAAAGCUAGGAGGAUCAAUGAAAAUGCCCCUACAGUGGGGAAGUGGGCAAAGUUUAUGAAGAUAUUCAUUAAUCACAUCUGUACUAUUGCAAGAGCCCCCAAUCCAUCCAUGCAGCCCAGGAUCCAUCCUGCAAAGUGCCUCACAGAAGCCUGGAUCCGAGAUUGUCUUCUGAUGAUCACAUCAGAAGGGUGGCUUCUGGUAUCCACAGGAGAAAGAUAGCCCCUACCUAAGAAAACUAGGGCAAUAUAUGCAUGGAUGGAUGGAACUCCCCAGUAUACAAAGACCUGUUCCUCACUCACAAUACUGUAAGAGAAUGUUUUUCUCCAAAGGAAGAAAAUAACACUUGGAAUGAGGAUCUAUUUGUCCCAAAGAUGUAUGUAAAUCCUUCAUCACACCCUGCCAAUCUAUCAUAAAAGACAUCCAAGUCUUACCUUGGUCCACUGUUGUUUCCACUAUACUCAUAUUCCUUAUUGCUAUUGAUUAUUAUUAUCAUUAUGUAAAUGACUAAAUAAAUAA